UACAGAGGGUGCAAGCGUUGUUCGGAAUCACUGGGCGUAAAGGGCGUGUAGGCGGUUGGGAAAGUCAGAUGUGAAAGCCCGGGGCUUAACUCCGGAAGUGCAUUUGAAACUACCUAGCUAGAGUGUAGUAGAGGUUGGUGGAAUUCCUAGUGUAGAGGUGAAAUUCGCAGAUAUUAGGAGGAACACCAGUGGCGAAGGCGGCCAACUGGGCUACAACUGACGCUGAUACGCGAAAGCGUGGGGAGCAAACAGG
This 253-nucleotide ribosomal RNA is filed under the name uncultured bacterium. RNAcentral describes it as "partial 16S ribosomal RNA". It matches the Rfam family "Bacterial small subunit ribosomal RNA", at positions 524 to 776 of the family's 1533-position model. The record is from RNAcentral.